GCCAAAUCAGUUAAUUAUAUUAGUAUUUACAUGGUCUUAAGAUCUUAGCUUAAUGAACCAAAUGUGAUUUGUCAAAAUUGACAACUGGGAAGGAAGGCCAAGAAUCUGAAAGAAAGACCAGAGAUUAUGCAGAAACUGGAACAGCAGAUGAAUACCCAAGUGGACAAGGCAGACUUCUGAUCAUGCAGCAUCCACAUCUUCAUGUUCAUGAGGCAAAUCACCUCCUCUUUUCUAGCACUGGGGCACUGGAGUAAGGCCCGUGGCUCCUCCCUCAGGCCGUGUCCUUCUGGAGUUUCUGUAUUUCUGCGUUGUGGUGAUCCUUCAUGCUGCCGUGGUUUCAUGACAAUGUACACAUGUAUGGCCCGCAGCUCGUCCA
This 376-nucleotide long non-coding RNA is filed under the name Gorilla gorilla gorilla (western lowland gorilla). RNAcentral's name for it is "lncRNA (ENSGGOG00000044676.1)". The record is from RNAcentral. Lineage: Eukaryota; Metazoa; Chordata; Mammalia; Primates; Hominidae.